UACGUAGGGACCAAGCGUUGUUCGGAUUUACUGGGCGUAAAGGGCGCGUAGGCGGUCGUGACAAGUCACUUGUGAAAUCUCCGGGCUUAACUCGGAACGGUCAAGUGAUACUGUCGGACUAGAGUACAGAAGGGGCAACUGGAAUUCUCGGUGUAGCGGUGAAAUGCGUAGAUAUCAGGAGGAACACCGGUGGCGAAGGCGGAUCUCUGGGCCGUAACUGACGCUGAGGAGCGAAAGCAUGGGGAGCGAACAGG
This 254-nucleotide ribosomal RNA is filed under the name uncultured bacterium. RNAcentral describes it as "partial 16S ribosomal RNA". It matches the Rfam family "Bacterial small subunit ribosomal RNA", at positions 524 to 776 of the family's 1533-position model. The record is from RNAcentral.